This 253-nucleotide ribosomal RNA is filed under the name uncultured bacterium. RNAcentral's name for it is "partial 16S ribosomal RNA". It matches the Rfam family "Bacterial small subunit ribosomal RNA", at positions 524 to 776 of the family's 1533-position model. The record is from RNAcentral.
UACAGAGACUGCAAGCGUUAUUCGGAUUCACUGGGCGUAAAGGGUGUGUAGGUGGCGCCGUAAGUCGGAUGUGAAAUUUCGGAGCUUAACUCCGAAACUGCAUUCGAUACUGCCGUGCUUGAGGACUGGAGAGGAGACUGGAAUUUACGGUGUAGCGGUGAAAUGCGUAGAUAUCGUAAGGAAGACCAGUGGCGAAGGCGGGUCUCUGGACAGUUCCUGACGCUGAGGCACGAAGGUCAGGGGAGCAAACGGG